RNAcentral lists this ribosomal RNA (253 nucleotides) under uncultured bacterium. RNAcentral describes it as "partial 16S ribosomal RNA". It matches the Rfam family "Bacterial small subunit ribosomal RNA", at positions 524 to 776 of the family's 1533-position model. The record is from RNAcentral.
UACAGAGGGGGCAAGCGUUGUUCGGAAUUACUGGGCGUAAAGGGCGCGUAGGCGGCCUUCUAAGUCAGGCGUGAAAUCCCCGGGCUCAACCCGGGAACUGCGUCUGAUACUGGAGGGCUUGAAUCCGGGAGAGGGAUGUGGAAUUCCAGGUGUAGCGGUGAAAUGCGUAGAUAUCUGGAGGAACACCGGUGGCGAAGGCGGCAUCCUGGACCGGUAUUGACGCUGAGGCGCGAAAGCCAGGGGAGCAAACGGG